RNAcentral lists this ribosomal RNA (305 nucleotides) under uncultured bacterium. RNAcentral's name for it is "bacterial SSU rRNA". It matches the Rfam family "Bacterial small subunit ribosomal RNA", at positions 338 to 660 of the family's 1533-position model. The record is from RNAcentral.
CCUACGGGGGGCAGCAGUGGGGAAUAUUGCACAAUGGGGGAAACCCUGAUGCAGCAACGCCGCGUGAGUGAAGAAGUAUUUCGGUAUGUAAAGCUCUAUCAGCAGGGAAGAAAAUGACGGUACCUGAGUAAGAAGCCCCGGCUAACUACGUGCCAGCAGCCGCGGUAAUACGUAGGGGGCAAGCGUUAUCCGGAUUUACUGGGUGUAAAGGGGGCGCAGACGGCGAUGCAAGCCAGGAGUGAAAGCCCGCGGCCCAACCGCGGGACUGCAUUGGGAACUGGCGCGCUGGAGUGCCGGAGGGGGAG